RNAcentral lists this ribosomal RNA (297 nucleotides) under uncultured bacterium. Its description in RNAcentral is "partial 16S ribosomal RNA". It matches the Rfam family "Bacterial small subunit ribosomal RNA", at positions 28 to 311 of the family's 1533-position model. The record is from RNAcentral.
AACGAACGCUGGCGGCGCGUUUUAAGCAUGCAAGUCGAGCGGUAAGGUCCUUUCGGGACCCCAGAGCGGCGGACGGGUGAGUAACACGUGGAUAAUCUGCCUUCCAGUCCGGGAUAGCACAUGGGAAACAUGUGAUAAUACCGGAUACGAUGUUGCCUGCCACAUGGCGGGUGCAGGAAAGGUCCUGCGGGGAUCGCUGGGGAGAUGAGUCCGCGGCCCAUUAGCUGGUUGGCGGGGUAAAGGCCCACCAAGGCGACCGAUGGGGUAGCCGGGCCUGGAGAGGGGUGGACGGGCCAC